UACAGAGGGUGCGAGCGUUGUUCGGAAUUACUGGGCGUAAAGCGCGCGCAGGCGGCCCUUUAAGUCUACCCGUGAAAUGCCGGAGCUCAACUCCGCGCACGCCGGGGGAUACUGGGGGGCUGGAGACAUGUAGAGGCAAGCGGAAUUCCGGGUGUAGCGGUGGAAUGCGUAGAGAUCCGGAAGAACACCGGUGGCGAAGGCGGUCUGCUGGGGUCGAACUGACGCUGAGGCGCGACAGCGUGGGGAGCAAACAGG
Molecule: ribosomal RNA, 255 nt
Filed under: uncultured bacterium
Lineage: Bacteria
Description: partial 16S ribosomal RNA
Rfam family: Bacterial small subunit ribosomal RNA
Source: RNAcentral